Non-coding RNA from Equus caballus (horse), 2103 nucleotides. Lineage: Eukaryota; Metazoa; Chordata; Mammalia; Perissodactyla; Equidae. The record is from RefSeq and is a predicted model, not a curated record.
GAACCUGGUGGUUACGCUUGGAGGCGAGAUGGUUUGGUGGGGAAAUUAAAUGAAAAAGCUCGGGAAAGUGAUUGGAAAAGCUUCUCUCUUUGUUUCCUUGUCUGGGUGAUUUCUAAAAUCCUCGUAACGUGCUGGGGAUCCCACGGAACCGCGGUGCCCCAGCGCUGGGGGAUUGUGUGUGCGCGUUGCCAGCGCCAGAGUGUGAGUGUGGGCGCGCCCGGGCGCCAGGAGAGCCAGGCCCGCGGCGCCCGCUGGCGAAUGCCUGAAUCUGGACCACUGACCCACUGAAAGGGCCAGAGAGCUGAACGAAGGAGGAGCAGACAGGAGAGCUGGGCGAGGGAGACGCACCACACACACACACACACACACACACACACACAGAGUCUCGGAGAGGAGGGGGCGGGGUGACGUCACUCCCCAGCAUCCAUCCACCAGGCCAGAAAAGACCCCUUCUAACAAAUUCACUCAUCUCCUAAGAGAUGCACACCCCGGAGCGUCCUGGCGCGCGGGAGGAAAAAAAUGCUGGUCGCGCCCCAUUCAAAGCUGUUAUGAUAAUAUAAGGAGCGCGCGUUGAUGAGACAGUUUGUGUCCGCCCCAGUUCACCUUGGCAGCCUCAUUCUGGGAUGCUUGUAGGAUCCACUUUGGAGUCAGAGAGGAGGAAAGGGAAAUAUCGAAUUAAUCAGUGUAAUAACUCUUGUUUUGCUUCCAUGCUACUUGCUUUUACGAUGUUGGAAAUGCAGUGCUCCCUGGCUUCUCUGAAGGACACCAUCAAACCCUCUCCCUAGACAUCCGCUCAGUUGUUGGGCUACACAAGCUUCAUCCACAGAACCCUUCAUCCACAGCGCACACUGUGUGGAUUGUCGGCUGAGAGGCGAAUUUUAACCUUCUUCACUCCUCCUAGGACCACAAGCGUGUAGAAAAAGUCAACAACUGGAAGCCACCAUCGAAGAUUUAGCCUAGCCAAAUUUUUUUAGCAACUUGGUCAGAAAGGUUAAACAAAGGCAGGGCCUCCAGCCACCUUUCUUGCUCCUUCUGUGUUCAGGCCAGCACAUUUGCACACAGUUCUUAUUCCUGCCGGCUCAAGGCUGUCUUUGAAAGAGCAAAGGUAAGCAGACCCCCUUAGAUUCCGCCUAAUGAUCCGGCAUCCUGACUCUUGUUUCACGCUGCCCAUUUGUUCCCACCAUCUGCAUGCUGGGCUCCUGAAAGGCACUGAAGGAUUGGUCAGUAAUCCUCUGCCUGCUGUGCACGCCAAAAAGAAGUCACAUCUUUGUGAAAGGAGUCUUGCUAAAUGAAGUUUAGUUUUCCAGCAAUUUAAGGGUGGGGGGGCCGGACAUCUUGGCAUGACUCUUCCUUGUUCUUUUUUUAUAGUUAGCCUUAUAGUGAAAAUCAAGAAGAAAUCUAUUCCUGUGUGAGCCCGCAGAGCCAGGUUUACCCUCCAGUCUUUCUGAUGACACAAGGAACUGAAAGGCUGAGCAGGACAAUGUUUCUUGUUGCUGUCAGGCAGCACUGUUCUCUUAAAGAAAAGAAAUCCACGUCUUUCUCUAAAGAAAGGCCUGGAAAGGCCAGGCACUCUACGCUGCCUCUGUUCAGUUUGGCUGCUGCAUUUCACCCUCACCUGCAGUGUGUGGAGGACGUUAUGCUAUGCUCAUUAUCCAUGCAAAGACAUGAACCAACCUGGGACUAUUAACAACGUCUGAUAUCAAGAAGCACGAAAGCAAAUCAAGUCAGGCAGAUGUUUUUUUCUGCCUUCCUCUUGGCAAAGAAACCAGUGGUCAGACAUCUAGAAGCAGCCCUGAAAGGACACUUGACACCCAUGCUUUUUACUUUUUUUGCUCCAUCAAGGGACCUCCUGCCUGGUGAGUCUCAGGCUCUAGGAAAUAUCCUACGUCGUACCAAGUGGAGGGAGCAAGGAACAAGGCGCCUGUUACAAUUUCUCCUUUCUAUCCCUGUACUGCCCUAAAACAGGCUGUAUUCUGAGACUACGAAUGGCAAAACUGCUCAAUUUGGUCAGUCAGUUCUAGGCUGAGUAAAGAAUAGAUGAGAAAUUAGAGUGAAUGCUGAAAGUUAUAGUAUUUUGUCUGUGAUUAAACCCUUCCUGUGCCA